UACGAAGGGAGCUAGCGUUGUUCGGAAUCACUGGGCGUAAAGCGCACGUAGGCGGAUUUGCCAGUCAGGGGUGAAAUCCCGGGGCUCAACCUCGGAACUGCCUUUGAUACAGCAAGUCUUGAGUUCGAGAGAGGUGGGUGGAAUUCCUAGUGUAGAGGUGAAAUUCGUAGAUAUUAGGAAGAACACCGGUGGCGAAGGCGGCCCACUGGCUCGACACUGACGCUGAGGUGCUAAAGCGUGGGGAGCAAACAGG
RNAcentral lists this ribosomal RNA (253 nucleotides) under uncultured bacterium. RNAcentral describes it as "partial 16S ribosomal RNA". It matches the Rfam family "Bacterial small subunit ribosomal RNA", at positions 524 to 776 of the family's 1533-position model. The record is from RNAcentral.